This is a long non-coding RNA of Eptesicus fuscus (big brown bat), 986 nucleotides long. RefSeq lists it as uncharacterized. NCBI's taxonomy places the organism in Eukaryota, Metazoa, Chordata, Mammalia, Chiroptera, Vespertilionidae. The transcript is spliced from 5 exons. The record is from RefSeq and is a predicted model, not a curated record.
UCACUGCCUCAAGUGCUGUGGUAUUUGAUACAACCAGCAGAUGCCACAUCUGCCAGCCUACUACAAGCCCUCCAGGGAAAGAGCUCUAAAGAUUUAAACAACAACAGGUCUUUUUACUUCCCUGAUGAAGAGACUGACUGACUUUCAAGCCAGGAAGAGAGAACUGUGUGCAAUUUGAUGGGAUUCAGAACAUCAAAGGCUGUUGAGUUGGUGUUUGGAACAAUCUCUCAGAUUUCUCUUCUGUUUCUCUGGAGAACCUGACCAUCUCAGGGCACUCUCUGCAGCAGGCUCUCUUGCAUUCAGCAAGGUGAUCUCAAUUCAAGCAAUAGGUUGUUCAGUUCCAACCAAUGGACCCCUACAUGCAGGGGUGCCCGGCUGCAGACCAGACCAAAGACAUAAGCGACUUGCUCCAAAUGAAUGACUGGCCAGCAGAGGCUGUGAGGCUCUCUCAUUUUCCUCAGAGAGCAACCCUGAGGGAAUCCCAACCUGUGAUUAUCCAUGAGGCUGCAUCGGUGUCAAUCGGUUCUGUAGUUUACAACUGUAAUUACCCAAGGGGAUCAAAACUAACAAGAGGAACUCCUGAACCAUCACAGAACAUCAGUGACCUUGAAGGAGGCAGCAGUCAGCAAAGAGCAGCCUCUGUGUGGAUAGAGAGGAAGGCUGCAGUGCUGGCUGUAGGGUGUGGAUCUAAGGUCUACUAACCAGAAGUGAGUAGUCCUCUAAACUAAAGGAUGGGGCUUGGUUUUCCCUAUGCUCUUCCUUGAGCCACUGAUUGCAGCAUCAUUUGCUUCAUUCCCUUGAAGAUAAAGACUCUUGAAUGUAAUGUGUUGAGAGAGGCUCAGAUUACUUUCCAGCUCUCCAACUUACUACCUGCCUUUGGUAUUUAGUAACCUCUCUGUAACUGUUUAUUAAGCCAUCAAAUGAGAAUAAUAUUGCUGGUGUAAGUUUGUUAUAAAAAUUCAAUAAAAUAAAGCAUGUCAAAUGCC